Bemisia tabaci is the source of this 2087-nucleotide RNA transcript. It is a transcript of the gene named Histone deacetylase 11, with no coding region annotated. Lineage: Eukaryota; Metazoa; Arthropoda; Insecta; Hemiptera; Aleyrodidae. The record is from RefSeq and is a predicted model, not a curated record.
CGUAAUCAUAGAAUAAUAAGGCGUUAGCUUUAUUAUUCUAUGGCGUAAUUUUACGCUGUAUUCCUCAAGUACUCUUUGUCGUUCUGUUAUUUAUAAUAAUUCUCCAGCUUACCCGCUUCAUUUUCCAUUUUCUGUACCUCACUUCAGCAGUCUGUUAUUCGCGAAUUCAUUCUAGCCGGUAAUUUGCUUCGAACGGAAAGGCAUGCAUGAAAACACGUGGUAAUCCUUCGGAGCGUGAGCCAAGUUUUGUCGCCAGAAGAGUUCCUCGGCAAGAUUCGUCUUCAUCGUGUGUACUACUUGUAGGUGCUGCGCGAAGAUGCAAGGAGAAUACACAAUCCUCCAGGAAGUAACCAAAGCAGCUCCUUAGCAAUCAGUGCUUUUAACGCAGAGUGGAAAUCUCACCAUGCCUUACUCAGUAACCACAAUGAGUAUGUCUCAAGACGACCAGAAAAUCAAUGAAUUCACGGAUAAAAGAGGUAAAAGGAGAAGUCAAAAUCAGUGGCCAAUUGUGUAUUCAAAAGAAUAUGAUGUCAAACUGUGCGGACUUCAAAAGCUUCAUCCUUUUGAUGCAGAGAAAUGGAGGCAUAUUUUCUUGAAUCUCAAGAAAGAAAACAUGCUGUCAGAUGAGACUGUCUCCACCCCAGUGGAAGCAGAUGCGGAAAUGUUGUUAUUAGUGCAUACUCAAAAAUACUUGAACAGUUUGAAGUGGAGCUGGAAAGUUGCCAAGAUAACUGAAAUCCCUGCAAUAGCGAUUAUUCCCAAUUGGAUCAUUAAUCAGCGGUAUCUGAAACCUAUGAGGUUUCAAGUUGGCGGUUCUGUUCUAGCUGGAGAGUUGGCCAUCCAUCGAGGAUGGUCUAUCAAUAUAGGUGGUGGAUUUCACCAUUGCUCCGGGAAUGAAGGUGGAGGAUUUUGCUCUUAUGCUGACAUCACACUUUUGAUCAAAUGGCUCUUCAAAUUUUAUCCGCAACGAGUCAAAACAGCAAUGAUAGUUGACCUUGACGCUCAUCAAGGUAAUGGACAUGAAAGAGACUUCUUUAAUGAUGAAAAAGUGUUCAUCAUGGAUGUUUUUAACAGAGAAAUUUACCCUCGAGACUCGCCGGCCAAAGAAGCCAUUAAAUGCAUGGUGGAAUUAGAGUCAUACACGUCUGACUCAGAAUAUCUUGAUCUAGUUGAAAGGAAGUUGGAAAGAUCAUUACAUAAAUUCCAUCCAGAUAUAUUAGUGUACAAUGCAGGGACUGAUAUUUUAAGUGGAGAUCCGCUAGGGCGUUUAGAUAUUUCUGCUGAGGGUAUUAUCAGGAGGGAUGAAAUAGUUUUCAUGAAAGCCAGAGAGCGGCGAGUGCCUAUUGUAAUGUUAACCAGCGGUGGUUACCUGAAGAAAACAGCAGAAAUCAUCUCCAGAUCCAUUCUGAAUUUAGAGGCUUUGAACUUAAUAUCAAGAUAGUUGGAAUUCGUUGAUGCUCAUCGGCUCAUCCGUCGCACGAAGAACAGCAAGAAAACCACUGUCGCUCUCGUCAAGCCUCUUUCGUCGCUGGAGAACUGAACGGGAAAAUUGAACGUGCAACGCUGAAUUUUCUUCCGUGAAGAAUUCUCUUUUUUAAAACGCAAGCAAGUGCCUACAGCAUCAAGCAUCCUGCACAAUCUGAAUUCGUGGUGGAUAAGAUGAUAUUGUCAAAGUCGGGUCAUCAUCGGACGUUCUUGCCGGCUUUGAUUUCCUGAGGUAAUCGGGGUCGUUCAGAUCGAAUUCUCGUCUACUCUCUGGCCGUUGAUGAAGUUGAUGGUACUGUGUGAUUUCUUGAUUGUACUGUCGCUUUCGCUAACAUUAAAGAAAUUAAAGAAACGCUAUGAAUGGAAUGAAGGGAAAUCUUGAAACACGAAUGAAAAAAUCACACCAAUCAAAGAGACAUCUUUUCUUAGCCAUCAAAGUAAAUUAGUCGCAUUAAUCCAAUAUCUCUUUUCUUGACUUUUAUUUACGAAAGAUGUUCUUCGAACAAGAAAAAAGAAUUGUUCGCUUGUCUCAAUUGAUUUUUCUAACUCCGAUCGUUUCUUUCCUUGCAAUAAAAGCGACCUAGUGUCUUGUGCCUUUCCCA